This 498-nucleotide ribosomal RNA is filed under the name uncultured bacterium. Its description in RNAcentral is "partial 16S ribosomal RNA". It matches the Rfam family "Bacterial small subunit ribosomal RNA", at positions 28 to 507 of the family's 1533-position model. The record is from RNAcentral.
GACGAACGCUGGCGGCGUGCCUAAUACAUGCAAGUCGAACGAGAGCGACCGGUGCUUGCACUGGUCAAUCUAGUGGCGAACGGGUGAGUAACACGUGGGUAACCUGCCCAUCAGAGGGGGAUAACAUCCGGAAACGGAUGCUAAAACCGCAUAGGUCUUCGAACCGCAUGGUUUGAAGAGGAAAAGAGGCGCAAGCUUCUGCUGAUGGAUGGACCCGCGGUGCAUUAGCUAGUUGGUGAGGUAACGGCUCACCAAGGCCGUGAUGCAUAGCCGACCUGAGAGGGUGAUCGGCCACAUUGGGAAUGAGACACGGCCCAAACUCCUACGGGAGGCAGCAGUAGGGAAUCUUCCGCAAUGGACGAAAGUCUGACGGAGCAAAGCCGCGUGAGGGAAGAAGGUUUUCGGAUCGUAAAACUCUGUUGUUAGAGAAGAACAAGUGCUAGAGUAACUGUUAGCGCCUUGACGGUAUCUAACCAGAAAGCCACGGCUAACUACGUG